This is a non-coding RNA of Exophiala oligosperma, 151 nucleotides long. NCBI's taxonomy places the organism in Eukaryota, Fungi, Ascomycota, Eurotiomycetes, Chaetothyriales, Herpotrichiellaceae. The record is from the annotation of a RefSeq genome assembly.
UCCUCGAUGGUCUAGUGGUAUGUACUACCGCUCUUCAGAUAUGACAUUCUCUCUAACAAUGUACAGGUCAUGAUUUCCGCUUGUCAUACAAGACAACCAUCUGGUUGCGUUACAAGCGCGGGAGACCAGGGUUCGAUUCCCUGUCGGGGAG